UACGUAGGGUCCGAGCGUUGUCCGGAAUUACUGGGCGUAAAGAGCUCGUAGGUGGUUUGUCGCGUUGUUCGUGAAAACUCACAGCUUAACUGUGGGCGUGCGGGCGAUACGGGCAGACUUGAGUACUGCAGGGGAGACUGGAAUUCCUGGUGUAGCGGUGGAAUGCGCAGAUAUCAGGAGGAACACCGGUGGCGAAGGCGGGUCUCUGGGCAGUAACUGACGCUGAGGCACGAAAGCGUGGGGAGCAAACAGG
Molecule: ribosomal RNA, 253 nt
Filed under: uncultured bacterium
Lineage: Bacteria
Description: partial 16S ribosomal RNA
Rfam family: Bacterial small subunit ribosomal RNA
Source: RNAcentral